Molecule: non-coding RNA, 599 nt
Organism: Vicugna pacos (alpaca)
Lineage: Eukaryota; Metazoa; Chordata; Mammalia; Artiodactyla; Camelidae
Source: RefSeq, a predicted model, not a curated record
CAUGAACAACUGCCCGCUGGACACCUCCGCCUGGAAGCCUAGCAGGCACCCAGACUUACAGGUCCAACCAAGCUGCGGAGACACCUGUCGUCCCAAGUCAGAAAAACGAUUCUUCUGAUUCCAGUCCCAGUGCCCUUCCUGCUAAACCCUGCAGCCUAAGAAGCAGUCAUCAGAUAAUGGCCGUCUUCUCCAUUCUCCUCUGUUUCACUGCACUGGCUCCGUCAGCCUGCAAAGGAAACCCAAAACACCUACAUCAGCCAAGGGGAAGACACAGAUGCUACCCACCGCCACCCUACCCAGCUCCCGCUCAAACACCAGCCUUCAGAGGGGAUUGCAGAUGAAGGAUUGAGGACCCAAAAUAAAAACAGCAGCAGCUACCUUCUGAUGAGCGCUUACAAGAUGCUGCAAACUGGCAAAACCAGAUGGCAGACUUCGAGUCAAACAGUCAAUAUAUAAAAAUAAAGGGAUUUCACCCAAAAAAGGCCAGAUUUCAGCUUCUGAAUGCAACACGCAGUCCCACAUGACCACAGUCAGUUAGAGGUGACAUACCUGGUUCUCCACAGUCCCCACCACUCCCUCUUGCCUUAUACCCAGCCCUC